CUUCUUAGCAUACUGCAUUUUUAGGGCUCUUGAAAACACAGAUUCUUUCCUGAAAGAUUGCUCCCUGUAGCUGCUGAGGAAUGAUGACAAUAAAAGGCCGAAUUGCAGUGUGUCCGGCAGCAGUUUGCUCUCUGUGUGGUGCACGAUGACAAAACCUCCUGAAGCGAAACCACCAGUCUGACCUCAGCAGCAUCAGGACUGGAGCGUCCUGGCUUGGGAAGCUUCCAGAAAGCAUACCCAAAGAGAGCCCAAGUAUUUUUAAUAAAAACACUCAGUGACCCUUGGACAACACUGGGGCUUAAAGUAGUAAAUACCUCUCUGUAUACUUUAGAAUGUACAUAAAAACAGUAAUAGACCUUCAAGAACAGGUGUGUUCCCACUGCAAUGAAAUUCCCUGGUGAUCUGAAGAUAUUAAAGCUUCAAGCUGAAACUAGAAAAUCCAGAGAAUUCAGAAUGUCUUUUUUGACAAUUGAACUCAUCUGAUUAUACUUAAAAAUCGAUUGCAGUUAUUGAAUCCCAGGAUUAUAAUUAAUUUUAUUUUAUUUCAGGUAAACUUUCCUCUACUUUUAAACAUGUUAAAUGAAGAACCUUUUUCUGGUGUAAAUGUAAUCUUGACUUUUGUUUUUUAUAAAAUGUUCUCUAACUGUAA
Long non-coding RNA from Manis pentadactyla (Chinese pangolin), 649 nucleotides. RefSeq lists it as uncharacterized. The transcript is spliced from 2 exons. NCBI's taxonomy places the organism in Eukaryota, Metazoa, Chordata, Mammalia, Pholidota, Manidae. The record is from RefSeq and is a predicted model, not a curated record.